GACGAACGCUGGCGGCGUGCUUAACACAUGCAAGUCGAACGGAAAGGCCCUGCUUUUGUGGGGUGCUCGAGUGGCGAACGGGUGAGUAACACGUGAGGAACCUGCACUUUACUUUGGGAUAACUUCAGGAAACUGGGGCUCAUAUCGGAUAGGAGCUACUGCAGCAUGGUGUGGGUUGGAAAGAUUCGGCGGUGGGGGAUCGACUCGCGGCUUAUCAGCUUGAUGGUGAGGUAGUGGCUUACCAAGGCUUUGACGGGUAGCCGGCCUGAGAGCGUGAACGGCCUCAUUAGUACUAAGAAACGGCCCAGAAUGCAACGGGCGGCAGCAGUGGGGAACAUUACACAACAGGCCGCAGUCUGAUGCAGCAACGCCCCGUGCGCGAAAACGGCCUAUGGGUUGUAAACCGUUGUCGCCGUUAACGAACCGUGAUUGACGGUAAUGGGUAAGGAAGCACCGGCUAACUACGUG
This 468-nucleotide ribosomal RNA is filed under the name uncultured bacterium. RNAcentral's name for it is "partial 16S ribosomal RNA". It matches the Rfam family "Bacterial small subunit ribosomal RNA", at positions 28 to 507 of the family's 1533-position model. The record is from RNAcentral.